Molecule: small RNA, 69 nt
Filed under: Arabidopsis thaliana (thale cress)
Lineage: Eukaryota; Viridiplantae; Streptophyta; Magnoliopsida; Brassicales; Brassicaceae
Description: ATSL306290
Source: RNAcentral
CUCUUUCUCUUCUCUUCUUCACUUGCUCUAGUUCUUGGAUGCUUUAAACCUCUCUCUCUCUCUCUCUCA